RNAcentral lists this ribosomal RNA (466 nucleotides) under uncultured bacterium. RNAcentral describes it as "partial 16S ribosomal RNA". It matches the Rfam family "Bacterial small subunit ribosomal RNA", at positions 30 to 507 of the family's 1533-position model. The record is from RNAcentral.
CGAACGCUGGCAGCGUGCUUAACACAUGCAAGUCGAACGGAAAGGCCCUGCUUUUGUGGGGUGCUCGAGUGGCGAACGGGUGAGUAACACGUGAGUAACCUGCCCUUGACUUUGGGAUAACUUCAGGAAGCUGGGGCUAAUACCGGAUAGGAGCUCCUGCUGCAUGGUGGGGGUUGGAAAGUUUCGGCGGUUGGGGAUGGACUCGCGGCUUAUCAGCUUGUUGGUGGGGUAGUGGCUUACCAAGGCUUUGACGGGUAGCCGGCCUGAGAGGGUGACCGGCCACAUUGGGACUGAGAUACGGCCCAGACUCCUACGGGAGGCAGCAGUGGGGAAUAUUGCACAAUGGGCGGAAGCCUGAUGCAGCAACGCCGCGUGCGGGAUGACGGCCUUCGGGUUGUAAACCGCUUUCGCCUGUGACGAAGCGUGAGUGACGGUAAUGGGUAAAGAAGCACCGGCUAACUACGUG